AGCGAACGCUGGCGGCAGGCCUAACACAUGCAAGUCGAACGAACUCUUCGGAGUUAGUGGCGGACGGGUGAGUAACACGUGGUAACGUGCCUUUAGGUUCGGAAUAACUCAGGUAAACUUGUGCUAAUACCGCAUGUGCCCUUCGGGGGAAAGAUUUAUCGCCUUUAGAGCGGCCCUCGUCUGAUUAGCUAGUUGGUGAGGUAAAUGCUCACCAAGGCGGCGAUCAGUAGCUGGUCUGAGAGCAGACACAGCCGCAUUGGGACUGGGCCCAGACCCAAACGCGAGGGAGCAGGGGGGAGGGGGAAACAAGGGGAGGGGGCCAAAGGCAGCAGCGCCCAGGCCGGGUGAAUGAAGAUGGGGUUGGAAUUGGAAAAUUCUUUCGCCGGGGAGGGAAAGACGGGAACCGGGAAAGAAGCCCCGGCUAAAUUUGGG
RNAcentral lists this ribosomal RNA (432 nucleotides) under uncultured bacterium. Its description in RNAcentral is "partial 16S ribosomal RNA". It matches the Rfam family "Bacterial small subunit ribosomal RNA", at positions 30 to 507 of the family's 1533-position model. The record is from RNAcentral.